AAAAAUUUAAAUAACUAUGUAAUUUAUGACUCCUUUCUCUCCUUAGCUCUCAGCAGCAGCCAGAGACCCAAAAGAAAUGAUAGAUUCUCCCUGUCCUGGGCCCGAGUCACAGCCUACAUCAUGUCACCUUAUGGAGAUGGUGCUUCCCCCAGCCCAGCUGUGUCAGAACACCACAGCCUUGACCAGAACUACUCAGCUAUCGUAUGUUAACCUGGACUCAAUUGCAUCCUCGGCAGAGGAUGGGAGCCUUGCUUCUCAUCUGACCAUGCUUCCAGACCAGGAGUCACACUGUCUCUCUUCAGUUCUCUACCAGUUGGACACAUCUGUAUGCAGGGCACCAGCACCGCUGUGAAUCCCUUCUCCAGUCCCAUUAUGCAUCAGAAGAUGAAGAAAGAGACCCAUCUGUGAUCCAAGCUUACUGAAUAAAAUGAUGAUCUUCUGAUCUCCAAACCAUCAGAAUGAUGUGACUAACAAGAAAGAUUGCUUCUCAAGUUGCCUGGGUCAACACAGCCUUGUCCACAACACUGAAGGAGAGAAGGGGAAGCACACGGGAGUCCAAGUGAUUACCCUCAGUCCCAACAGAAAGCCUGUGAGAGUCAGGAGCAGAAGCCAUCUCCUGAACCUCCUGAAGGCCUGAAACAUGAGAUCAGAUGUCUUCUGAGAGCACCAAACAGUAAUUCUGCACUCCCCGGCGGUACCUCUUUACUACCCACAUGUACUCUCAGUGAAUGACAAAUGAACAAGCUCCUAUUGCUCUGAAUAGCAGCAAGGUGACUGGUUGCCAGCCUGUAAAAUCUGGUAUCAUCCCUCCUGAAGUCAAAGCUUGACCUUAAGAAAAUUCUUGCCAGUUUCUCCAAGGAACAUGUCCCUGUGCUGCUGCAGAAUCCACUUUGC
Dromaius novaehollandiae (emu) is the source of this 894-nucleotide long non-coding RNA. RefSeq lists it as uncharacterized. The transcript is spliced from 6 exons. Lineage: Eukaryota; Metazoa; Chordata; Aves; Casuariiformes; Dromaiidae. The record is from RefSeq and is a predicted model, not a curated record.